GUAGGGAAUAUUGGGCAAUGGAUGCAAGUCUGACCCAGCCAUCCCGCGUGCCGGAAGAAGGCCCUCAGGGUUGUAAACGGCUUUUGACGGUGAAGAAUCGACAGGAUGCGUCCUGUUUUGACGGUAGCCGUUGAAUAAGCACCGGCUAACUCCGUGCCAGCAGCCGCGGUAAUACGGAGGGUGCGAGCGUUGUCCGGAUUUAUUGGGUUUAACGGGUGCGUAGGCUGGAAGGUCAGUCAGCGGUGAAAAGCUGUCGCUUAACGAUAGUCUUGCCGCAGAUACUUCCUUUCUUGGAUGAGGAGGAGGCCACUGGAACGGAUGGUGUAGCGGUGAAAUGCAUAGAUAUCAUCCAGAACACCGAUUGCGAAGGCAGGUGGCUGUACCUUAAUCGACGCUGAUGCACGAAAGCAUGGGGAGCAAACAGGAUUAGAAACCCUAGUAGUCC
RNAcentral lists this ribosomal RNA (445 nucleotides) under uncultured bacterium. RNAcentral's name for it is "partial 16S ribosomal RNA". It matches the Rfam family "Bacterial small subunit ribosomal RNA", at positions 354 to 796 of the family's 1533-position model. The record is from RNAcentral.